GGAAGGAUGGCCGAGUGGCUGAAGGCGCUGGUCUCGAAAACCGGUAUACCCUUCACGGGGUAUCGGGGGUUCGAAUCCCCCUUCUUCCG
This 89-nucleotide transfer RNA is filed under the name Bacteroidales bacterium. Its description in RNAcentral is "tRNA-Ser". It matches the Rfam family "tRNA". From Rfam's summary of the family: Transfer RNA (tRNA) molecules are approximately 80 nucleotides in length. Their secondary structure includes four short double-helical elements and three loops (D, anti-codon, and T loops). Further hydrogen bonds mediate the characteristic L-shaped molecular structure. tRNAs have two regions of fundamental functional importance: the anti-codon, which is responsible for specific mRNA codon recognition, and the 3' end, to which the tRNAs corresponding amino acid is attached (by aminoacyl-tRNA synthetases). tRNAs cope with the degeneracy of the genetic code in two manners: having more than one tRNA (with a specific anti-codon) for a particular amino acid; and 'wobble' base-pairing, i.e. permitting non-standard base-pairing at the 3rd anti-codon position. Lineage: Bacteria; Pseudomonadati; Bacteroidota; Bacteroidia; Bacteroidales. RNAcentral also lists the same sequence under 1 other name. The record is from RNAcentral.